Molecule: ribosomal RNA, 821 nt
Filed under: Acidipila sp.
Lineage: Bacteria; Pseudomonadati; Acidobacteriota; Terriglobia; Terriglobales; Acidobacteriaceae
Description: bacterial SSU rRNA
Rfam family: Bacterial small subunit ribosomal RNA
Source: RNAcentral
UCGUCAGAAUCAACGCUGGCGGCGUGCCUAACACAUGCAAGUCGAACGAGAAAGGGACUUCGGUCCUGAGUAAAGUGGCGCACGGGUGAGUAACACGUGACUAACCUACCCUUGAGUGGGGAAUAACUAGGAGAAAUCUUAGCUAAUACCGCAUAAUACCUACGGGUCAAAGGAGCAAUUCGCUUAAGGAGGGGGUCGCGGCAGAUUAGUUAGUUGGCGGGGUAAUGGCCCACCAAGACAGUGAUCUGUAUCCGGCCUGAGAGGGCGCACGGACACACUGGAACUGAAACACGGUCCAGACUCCUACGGGAGGCAGCAGUGGGGAAUUUUGCGCAAUGGGGGAAACCCUGACGCAGCAACGCCGCGUGGAGGAUGAAGUCCCUUGGGACGUAAACUCCUUUCGAUCGGGACGAUAAUGACGGUACCGAGAGAAGAAGCCCCGGCUAACUUCGUGCCAGCAGCCGCGGUAAUACGAGGGGGGCGAGCGUUGUUCGGAAUUAUUGGGCGUAAAGGGUGCGUAGGCGGUUCGGUAAGUCUUGUGUGAAAUCUUCGGGCUCAACUCGAAGUCUGCACCAGAAACUGCCGGGCUUGAGUAUGGGAGAGGUGAGUGGAAUUUCCGGUGUAGCGGUGAAAUGCGUAGAUAUCGGAAGGAACACCUGUGGCGAAAGCGGCUCACUGGACCAUAACUGACGCUGAUGCACGAAAGCUAGGGGAGCAAACAGGAUUAGAUACCCUGGUAGUCCUAGCCCUAAACGAUGAUCGCUUGGUGUGACGGGUACCCAAUCCCGCCGUGCCGAAGCUAACGCGUAAGCGAUCCGCCA